GACAGGUCAAACGUUGCCCUCACAGAGCCACUAGAAAUGACUCUGAAUUUCCUGCCACAGUAUGGAAAGCAAGUUGGAAGGAUUACCACCUCAAGUUUGGAGGGGUGCAUUUAACGCAUGGCUAGAGCCCAGAAGCAAAGAGGUAAGCAAAAUGGGUAGUUUGGGGUUUUAUAUAAUAAAAGAAAUGUUGGUGUUGUUAAUGUCUUUCAUACACAUUAUAUUAAAAUUCCAAUGAAACGUGGGCAAGGGUCAGCAGUCAAUUAAAAAGGAAAGCUGAAAAAAAAAAAAAAAAGGAAAGCUGCAAAUGCCCAAGUUAAAUACUAAACUAACUGCACAUUGAACGUAGGCAAAAUUAAGUUUAAAUUACAGUCUAACCAUGCACAGGUGCUGGGAAACUUAGGAUUUUAGCGCUGCAGGGAGAGCAUGCCCAAAGAUUCAAAUAGAUUCAGUUCUCAUAAAUCCACAGAAGCCACGUGAUCAGCAAGAACGAAGGUUCUAGAGACGUGAACGCCGGCGCUCGAACACUAGCUUGCCUACAGAUGCUUCCUGUCCCAUCGGCAGGCUGAGCACGACCUGAGGUUUCUGACGCACAGAUUCAGCAACCCCCCACCCCAGGAUCACGGUGGAGAGACGGAAGACACCGGCCUCUGGCGCAUCGCCCACAGCAGGUUACGUAAUCAUCACUAACCCGAGCUGGUUAGUGUAAGACUCUGUGAAAUCAAAGCCGAAAGCAGCCAAAAUCAAUAUGCGGCCCGGUCCAAGCCAGCUUGGCCAAUGUUUCCCUAACGUUCACAUUCCACAGACAAAGACAAGAGCAAUAAAACGGGGCAGGCUCGUGUUUGCGACCAUCGCUCCCCUGUAUCUGUUACAGGAUUUCAUUUUCACUGUGGCCAGCACGUGAGACAUGAAGUGACACAAGCCGCGGGCCCUGGCGGACAAGUGCCUGCUUGCCGGUCUCCUGGGGGCCCACUGUUUUCUCUUCCGAAUUGUUGCAAGAUCUCCCUAAGCAAACACCUGGAAUCCCACCCGCUCCAGAAGUCAGGAAUACGAGGACCAGGCAAUGCAUUUGCUAAGCAUUGUAUGCUUCUAUUCCCAGAAGACAGGGCACGGGACAGAACACUCUGUCAAAUAAACAAUUGCCCAAGGUCUUGGGCAAGAGAAAUUGGGACAGGAAACACGGUGGACUCUUCGCCCCAGAUGCUGGACAGAGCCCCGGGGAGGACAUGGAGGCCAGGUGCUGACUACCAAGGACACUUCAUGCUGGCUCCCAGAGCGAUGAGGUGAGCCAGCUUCGGUUGCCCACACAGAAUGAGCCUGAAUGUAGGCACCACCCCCAUGUGACCAGCUGCUGGCUCACCUGGAAACCCCCAGCAUCCUUCCUGGAGCUUGGAAAACAGGAAGUGAGAGACACCCCGCCCCAAAGGGGGGCUCCCGCUGCACAUCCAUAAACCUGGCCUCCCGCCUCCGUCCCCAGCCCACCUGGCUGGCUUCCUGCUCCCACCUUGGCUUCAGAGUGACAUCUUCAGAGGGUCCUCUGGCCCUGUCACAGCUUGUCUUCUGAGGGCAGCCACCGUUACAACUGGGGUUCCAAAGCCUGGUGCAUAGUAGGUGCUCAAUAAAUGCAUACAUGCUGA
This is a long non-coding RNA of Chinchilla lanigera (long-tailed chinchilla), 1634 nucleotides long. The record is from Ensembl. NCBI's taxonomy places the organism in Eukaryota, Metazoa, Chordata, Mammalia, Rodentia, Chinchillidae.